Molecule: long non-coding RNA, 524 nt
Organism: Momordica charantia (bitter melon)
Lineage: Eukaryota; Viridiplantae; Streptophyta; Magnoliopsida; Cucurbitales; Cucurbitaceae
Source: RefSeq, a predicted model, not a curated record
GUACAGGAACCGGAAUCCCUCAUUGCAGGAAACUCGAUUAGGGCUCGCAUGGAGGGACGGCAGAGAGGAACCUCUGUGGUGAAUGUGCUGAGGGUCCUCUGCCGAAACCCUAGAAGUCCCGCAUCGGAUGGAUCCGCCAUUGGAGCUCAGGUACUUGGCGUAUGUUACGAGCAGAAAUGAUGCUGAUGUUACAUACUGCAGGUUGCUCUCGCUUCCUUUGAAGAACAGUCCUCCUGCAAUUUCGUUUCCAGAUCCAUUGCUGAUAUUAAGUAGCAGCUAAAAAUUACUUCGUGCUUUCCACUCAAUGGAAAAAUGGGUCAAAUUCCACGAGACUUUAGGACAUAAAAGUUUGAAUAGAGCCGAAUGUAAAUGUUGGUCAUUAUUCAUAUAUUUAUGUACUAGAAAAUAUAAAGACCAUUUAAUUGCAGGUGCAAUAACGGUGUCAAGUCCAUUUGAUCUUUUACGAUGUAUGUUGCACAUAUCAAGGACCCUAUUGAAAGGAUGAGUAUGAUAUUUUGACAGAA